GGGUUGUGAGGUUAAGCGACUAAGCGUACACGGUGGAUGCCCUGGCAGUCAGAGGCGAUGAAGGACGUGCUAAUCUGCGAAAAGCGUCGGUAAGGUGAUAUGAACCGUUAUAACCGGCGAUGUCCGAAUGGGGAAACCCAGUGUGAUUCGUCACACUAUCGUUAACUGAAUACAUAGGUUAACGAGGCGAACCGGGGGAACUGAAACAUCUAAGUACCCCGAGGAAAAGAAAUCAACCGAGAUUCCCCCAGUAGCGGCGAGCGAACGGGGAGCAGCCCAGAGUCUGAAUCAGCUUGUGUGUUAGUGGAACGGUCUGGAAAGUCCGACGGUACAGGGUGAUAGUCCCGUACACCAAAAUGCACAGGCUGUGAACUCGAAGAGUAGGGCGGGACACGUGGUAUCCUGUCUGAAUAUGGGGGGACCAUCCUCCAAGGCUAAAUACUCCUGACUGACCGAUAGUGAACCAGUACCGUGAGGGAAAGGCGAAAAGAACCCCGGCGAGGGGAGUGAAAAAGAACCUGAAACCGUGUACGUACAAGCAGUGGGAGCACCUUCGGGUGUGACUGCGUACCUUUUGUAUAAUGGGUCAGCGACUUAUAUUCUGUAGCAAGGUUAACCGUAUAGGGGAGCCGCAGGGAAACCGAGUCUUAACUGGGCGUUAAGUUGCAGGGUAUAGACCCGAAACCCGGUGAUCUAGCCAUGGGCAGGUUGAAGGUUGGGUAACACUAACUGGAGGACCGAACCGACUAAUGUUGAAAAAUUAGCGGAUGACUUGUGGCUGGGGGUGAAAGGCCAAUCAAACCGGGAGAUAGCUGGUUCUCCCCGAAAGCUAUUUAGGUAGCGCCUCGUGAACUCAUCUUCGGGGGUAGAGCACUGUUUCGGCUAGGGGGUCAUCCCGACUUACCAACCCGAUGCAAACUACGAAUACCGAAGAAUGUUAUCACGGGAGACACACGGCGGGUGCUAACGUCCGUCGUGAAGAGGGAAACAACCCAGACCGCCAGCUAAGGUCCCAAAGUCAUGGUUAAGUGGGAAACGAUGUGGGAAGGCACAGACAGCCAGGAUGUUGGCUUAGAAGCAGCCAUCAUUUAAAGAAAGCGUAAUAGCUCACUGGUCGAGUCGGCCUGCGCGGAAGAUGUAACGGGGCUAAACCAUGCACCGAAGCUGCGGCAGCGACACUAUGUGUUGUUGGGUAGGGGAGCGUUCUGUAAGCCUGCGAAGGUGUGCUGUGAGGCAUGCUGGAGGUAUCAGAAGUGCGAAUGCUGACAUAAGUAACGAUAAAGCGGGUGAAAAGCCCGCUCGCCGGAAGACCAAGGGUUCCUGUCCAACGUUAAUCGGGGCAGGGUGAGUCGACCCCUAAGGCGAGGCCGAAAGGCGUAGUCGAUGGGAAACAGGUUAAUAUUCCUGUACUUGGUGUUACUGCGAAGGGGGGACGGAGAAGGCUAUGUUAGCCGGGCGACGGUUGUCCCGGUUUAAGCAUGUAGGCUGAUUGUCCAGGCAAAUCCGGAUAAUCAAGGCUGAGGUGUGAUGACGAGGCACUACGGUGCUGAAGUAACAAAUGCCCUGCUUCCAGGAAAAGCCUCUAAGCAUCAGGUAACAUUAAAUCGUACCCCAAACCGACACAGGUGGUCAGGUAGAGAAUACCAAGGCGCUUGAGAGAACUCGGGUGAAGGAACUAGGCAAAAUGGUGCCGUAACUUCGGGAGAAGGCACGCUGGUGUGUAGGUGAAGUCCCUGCGGAUGGAGCUGAGACCAGUCGAAGAUACCAGCUGGCUGCAACUGUUUAUUAAAAACACAGCACUGUGCAAACACGAAAGUGGACGUAUACGGUGUGACGCCUGCCCGGUGCCGGAAGGUUAAUUGAUGGGGUUAUCCGUAAGGAGAAGCUCUUGAUCGAAGCCCCGGUAAACGGCGGCCGUAACUAUAACGGUCCUAAGGUAGCGAAAUUCCUUGUCGGGUAAGUUCCGACCUGCACGAAUGGCGUAAUGAUGGCCAGGCUGUCUCCACCCGAGACUCAGUGAAAUUGAACUCGCUGUGAAGAUGCAGUGUACCCGCGGCAAGACGGAAAGACCCCGUGAACCUUUACUAUAGCUUGACACUGAACAUUGAGCCUUGAUGUGUAGGAUAGGUGGGAGGCUUUGAAGCGUGGACGCCAGUCUGCGUGGAGCCAACCUUGAAAUACCACCCUUUAAUGUUUGAUGUUCUAACGUUGGCCCCUGACCGGGGUUGCGGACAGUGUCUGGUGGGUAGUUUGACUGGGGCGGUCUCCUCCCAAAGCGUAACGGAGGAGCACGAAGGUUAGCUAAUCCUGGUCGGACAUCAGGAGGUUAGUGCAAUGGCAUAAGCUAGCUUGACUGCGAGCGUGACGGCGCGAGCAGGUGCGAAAGCAGGUCAUAGUGAUCCGGUGGUUCUGAAUGGAAGGGCCAUCGCUCAACGGAUAAAAGGUACUCCGGGGAUAACAGGCUGAUACCGCCCAAGAGUUCAUAUCGACGGCGGUGUUUGGCACCUCGAUGUCGGCUCAUCACAUCCUGGGGCUGAAGUAGGUCCCAAGGGUAUGGCUGUUCGCCAUUUAAAGUGGUACGCGAGCUGGGUUUAGAACGUCGUGAGACAGUUCGGUCCCUAUCUGCCGUGGGCGCUGGAGAAUUGAGGGGGGCUGCUCCUAGUACGAGAGGACCGGGUGGACGCAUCACUGGUGUUCGGGUUGUCAUGCCAAUGGCACUGCCCGGUAGCUAAAUGCGGAAGAGAUAAGUGCUGAAAGCAUCUAAGCACGAAACUUGCCCCGAGAUGAGUUCUCCCUGAGACUUUAAGUCUCCUGAAGGAACGUUGAAGACGACGACGUUGAUAGGCCGGGUGUGUAAGCGCAGCGAUGCGUUGAGCUAACCGGUACUAAUGAACCGUGAGGCUUAACCUUACAACGCCGAAG
RNAcentral lists this ribosomal RNA (2922 nucleotides) under Klebsiella pneumoniae. RNAcentral describes it as "23S ribosomal RNA". It matches the Rfam family "Bacterial large subunit ribosomal RNA". Lineage: Bacteria; Pseudomonadati; Pseudomonadota; Gammaproteobacteria; Enterobacterales; Enterobacteriaceae. The record is from RNAcentral.